RNAcentral lists this ribosomal RNA (371 nucleotides) under uncultured bacterium. RNAcentral's name for it is "bacterial SSU rRNA". It matches the Rfam family "Bacterial small subunit ribosomal RNA", at positions 527 to 896 of the family's 1533-position model. The record is from RNAcentral.
GUAGGGGGCAAGCGUUGUCCGGAUUUAUUGGGCGUAAAGAGCGUGUAGGCGGCUUUACAGGUCCGCUGUGAAAACUCGAGGCUCAACCUCGAGCUGUCGGUGGAAACCGUAAGGCUAGAGUCCGGAAGAGGAGAGUGGAAUUCCCGGUGUAGCGGUGAAAUGCGCAGAUAUCGGGAAGAACACCCGUGGCGAAGGCGGCUCUCUGGGACGGUACUGACGCUGAGACGCGAAAGCGUGGGGAGCGAACAGGAUUAGAUACCCUGGUAGUCCACGCCGUAAACGAUGGGUGCUAGGUGUGGGAGGUGUCGACUCCUUCCGUGCCGAAGCUAACGCAUUAAGCACCCCGCCUGGGGAGUACGGCCGCAAGGCUA